AGUGAUUAUUUUCCCAUUUAAAACAAAAAACAAAAACCUUGCUACAGUAUUAAGUUUGAAUUAGGGUCUGAACGAAGUUGUUGUUUGCUCAGACCCCUCCUCCGCUCUUAAACCUAAACCUCCACUGCCUUCAUGUAAAUGAGACACGGGGCGGGGGGAACAGUCCUCCCCUUGGGCAGCCAGGCAACCACUUGGCUCACAAGAACAAUCAAGUAUCUCCGGCUCCAAAGUGAAUAGAGCACUAUUAUUUCCUAAAGGAAGGGAGAAAGUCCGCAUCCCAAACAAGUGCAUCCUUCCUCGAGGGCCUCCGAACUGCCACUUCCAGUCAUCUCCCAACCCUGAAAACUUAAGAGCAGUUAAGAAAAAGAAAAAGAAAGCCUGCAGGGCAGCCAAGGAUUGAAGAUCCAACAACCAGGUCUCUGCUCUGCCCUGGUGCAUUCAGUCCCAAAAGCAGGAGCGAAAGCCCACUGACUCACCUAAUAGUCAGGGCGGGGCACGUUGCUCUGGCUUACAUAGGGAUUUUGCAUCUGGCUGUCUCUGGAGGCCGCUAUCCUGACCUUAGGAAAGAUGCUCCCUUCUGCUCCAACAUUGGUGAAGCCUGUCGACUGCAGUUUUAGAUUUUGAAAGUCUUCGUCAAUCAAGUUCUCUUCUUCAAUAUCCUUCUUUUUGUUAUUUGAUCUGUAAUCAGUAAGAGGAAUUAGGAUUUGACAAUGGCAGAAAGUUUCUUGAAGUAAAUGUUAACGUUCUUUUUAAAAAUAUUUUCAAAUUCUGAAA
Chlorocebus sabaeus (green monkey) is the source of this 774-nucleotide non-coding RNA. The record is from RefSeq and is a predicted model, not a curated record. Lineage: Eukaryota; Metazoa; Chordata; Mammalia; Primates; Cercopithecidae.